CCUACGGGGGUCUGCAGUGGGGAUUAUUGCACAAUGGGGGAAACCCUGAUGCAGCGACGCCGCGUGAGUGAAGAAGUAAUUCGUUAUGUACAGCUCUAUCAGCAGGGAAGAAAAUGACGGUACCUGAGUACGAAGCCCCUGCUAACUACGUGCCCGCAGCCGCGGUAAUACGUAGGGGACCAGCGGUCUCCGGAUUUACUGGGGGUAAAGGGAGCGUAGACGGCAGUGCAAGUCUCUAGUGAAAGGCGGGGGCCCAACCCCCGGACUGCUCUGGAAACUGUACGGCUGGAGUGCAGGAGAGGUAAGUGGAAUUCCUAGUGUAGCGGUGAAAUGCGUAGAUAUUAGGAGGAACACCAGUGGCGAAGGCGGCUUACUGGACUGUAACGGACGUUGAGGCUCGAAAGCGUGGGGAGCAAACAGGAUUAGAUACCCCUGUAGUC
RNAcentral lists this ribosomal RNA (440 nucleotides) under uncultured bacterium. RNAcentral's name for it is "partial 16S ribosomal RNA". It matches the Rfam family "Bacterial small subunit ribosomal RNA", at positions 338 to 795 of the family's 1533-position model. The record is from RNAcentral.